GAGGGAUCAUUGCUGGAACGCGCUUCGGCGCACCCAGAAACCCUUUGUGAACUUAUACCUUACUGUUGCCUCGGCGCAGGCCGGCCUCUACUGCUGAGGCCCCCCGGAGACGGGGAGCAGCCCGCCGGCGGCCAACCAAACUCUUGUUUCUACAGUGAAUCUCUGAGUAAAAAACAUAAAUGAAUCAAAACUUUCAACAACGGAUCUCUUGGUUCUGGCAUCGAUGAAGAACGCAGCGAAAUGCGAUAAGUAAUGUGAAUUGCAGAAUUCAGUGAAUCAUCGAAUCUUUGAACGCACAUUGCGCCCUCUGGUAUUCCGGAGGGCAUGCCUGUUCGAGCGUCAUUUCAACCCUCAAGCCUGGCUUGGUGUUGGGGCACUGCCUGUAAAAGGGCAGGCCCUGAAAUCUAGUGGCGAGCUCGCUAGGACCCCGAGCGUAGUAGUUAUAUCUCGUUCUGGAAGGCCCUGGCGGUGCCCUGCCGUUAAACCCCCAACUUCUGAAAUUUUGACCUCGGAUCAGGUAGGAAUACCCGCUGAACUUAAGCAUAUC
Molecule: ribosomal RNA, 547 nt
Filed under: Phomopsis sp. UOC/PTS/RDNM-09
Lineage: Eukaryota; Fungi; Ascomycota; Sordariomycetes; Diaporthales; Diaporthaceae
Description: eukaryotic LSU rRNA
Rfam family: 5.8S ribosomal RNA (bases 189-342)
Source: RNAcentral